This 401-nucleotide ribosomal RNA is filed under the name uncultured bacterium. RNAcentral's name for it is "bacterial SSU rRNA". It matches the Rfam family "Bacterial small subunit ribosomal RNA", at positions 359 to 776 of the family's 1533-position model. The record is from RNAcentral.
GGAUCUUGCACAAUGGGGGCAACCCUGAUGCAGCGACGCCGCGUGGGUGAGGAAGGCCUUCGGGUCGUAAAGCCCUUUUCUGCGUGACGAGGAAGGACGGUAGCGCAGGAAGAAGCGUCGGCUAACUACGUGCCAGCAGCCGCGGUAAAACGUAGGACGCGAGCGUUAUCCGGAGUUACUGGGCGUAAAGGGCGUGCAGGCGGGAGCGCAAGUCACGCGUGAAAGUCUUCGGCUCAACCGGGGGAAGACGGGUGAUACUGCGAUUCUAGAGGGCGCUAGAGGGACACGGAAUUCCGGGUGUAGUGGUGAAAUGCGUAGAGAUCCGGAGGAACACCAGUGGCGCAGGCGGUGUUCUGGGGCGCACCUGACGCUGAGACGCGAAAGCAUGGGGAGCGAACGGG